AGAGUUUGAUCAUGGCUCAGGAUGAACGCUAGCGGCAGGCCUAACACAUGCAAGUCGAGGGGUAGAGGCAGCUUGCUGCUUUGAGACCGGCGCACGGGUGCGUAACGCGUAUGCAAUCUACCUUUUACUAAGGGAUAGCCCAGAGAAAUUUGGAUUAAUACCUUAUGGUAUGUUUGAAUGGCAUCGUUUAAGCAUUAAAGAUUUAUUGGUAAAAGAUGAGCAUGCGUCCCAUUAGUUAGUUGGUAAGGUAACGGCUUACCAAGACGAUGAUGGGUAGGGGUCCUGAGAGGGAGAUCCCCCACACUGGUACUGAGACACGGACCAGACUCCUACGGGAGGCAGCAGUGAGGAAUAUUGGUCAAUGGAGGCAACUCUGAACCAGCCAUGCCGCGUGCAGGAUGACGGUCCUAUGGAUUGUAAACUGCUUUUGUACAGGAAGAAAAAGUACCACGUGUGGUAUAUUGACGGUACUGUAAGAAUAAGGAUCGGCUAACUCCGUGCCAGCAGCCGCGGUAAUACGGAGGAUCCAAGCGUUAUCCGGAAUCAUUGGGUUUAAAGGGUCCGUAGGCGGCUUUAUAAGUCAGUGGUGAAAGUUUGCAGCUUAACUGUAAAAUUGCCAUUGAUACUGUAAGGCUUGAAUUUUUGUGAAGUAACUAGAAUAUGUAGUGUAGCGGUGAAAUGCUUAGAUAUUACAUGGAAUACCAAUUGCGAAGGCAGGUUACUAACAAACGAUUGACGCUGAUGGACGAAAGCGUGGGUAGCGAACAGGAUUAGAUACCCUGGUAGUCCACGCCGUAAACGAUGGAUACUAGUUGUUUGGCUGUAAGACUGAGUGACUAAGCGAAAGUGAUAAGUAUCCCACCUGGGGAGUACGAACGCAAGUUUGAAACUUAAAUGAAUUGACGG
Molecule: ribosomal RNA, 906 nt
Filed under: uncultured bacterium
Lineage: Bacteria
Description: bacterial SSU rRNA
Rfam family: Bacterial small subunit ribosomal RNA
Source: RNAcentral